This 811-nucleotide long non-coding RNA is filed under the name Mus spretus (western wild mouse). RNAcentral's name for it is "predicted gene 15265 (ENSMSPG00010046715.1)". The record is from RNAcentral. Lineage: Eukaryota; Metazoa; Chordata; Mammalia; Rodentia; Muridae.
CCCCCUGAGAAAUGUUCCCCCACCUAAGUCUUAAGGGAGUCAACUUCCUAAAAGUUCUAAGUGCAGGCAACCCAACCUGAGUCCCCCAGGCCAGGGCCCUCCUGAGCCACACCUUGCUGCAUGAUCUCCACAAUCUGUACCACCUUGUCCAUGUGCUUCCGAGCAGCAAUCAGCCCUUGCAGCAUGAGCAUCUUGUAGUAGUUGAACAUAUCACCGUUCAGGCCACCCAUUACCUGGAAGCAAGGAGAGUGUCUGUGUGCACAGAGGAAUUCUGGUGGGUCUUUUCUGUAGGCCUCAGAGCUUCCUCUCUUAAGGUAAUCAUGGUAAAUUUCCUUAUCACUAUCUCCACAUUUUCUUUCAUAAGCUCCCAGGCAAUCCUGCCUCGUCUUGACUUAUUGCCAUUUCUGUUCUGUUCCUAAUUUGGGGGAGUCCAUCAGCUCCUCUCAGAGGAAGAACACAGUUACCCUUGGAAGCACCUCUCUUUUUUGACUCACAUCCACAAAUUCUGUGGUCAGCUUAAAGGCUGAUGUCUCGAAGCCCAGGUUUCGGGGUGAGCUGGAAAGGAUGAAGCCAAAGUCGAUGUGGAUGAUGUGACCUUCUGCGUCCAGAAGGAUGUUCCCGUUGUGCCUGAGGAAGAGGCAACAGAAGUAAUCGAGCAAGGAGAGCUGUGACUGUUUCUUCACCUGGUGGAUGGACACAGCGUUGACUACUGGUUCAAUCAUGCCACUGUCAGCUGAAAUCACAAGAAUCUUAUAUGGCUUGAUCCAAAGAGGCACUCGCUCCUGUUCCCAAAUGGACUGUGAAGAGACAC